UUUUACGACCAUACCACAUUGAAAGCACGACAUCUUAUCCGAUCUGUCAAGUUAAGCAACGUUGGGCCGAGCUAGUGCUUGGUUUGGAGACGGCUUGGGAAUUCCAGGCGAAGUAAGCC
RNAcentral lists this ribosomal RNA (119 nucleotides) under Anisakis simplex (herring worm). The record is from RNAcentral. Lineage: Eukaryota; Metazoa; Nematoda; Chromadorea; Rhabditida; Anisakidae.